GAAUUCCUUGUGCUUCAGCCCAGCCCCAGGAAAACAGUUUCAGGUGCUAGUUACAAUCCUCACUGGACCCAGGAGUUUGAGCUAGGGAUAUCUUAAAACCAGGAUUCCAGAUGAGAUGUUCCCAUUAGAGAAACCCAGAGAAGCCAGAAUACCUGAGACUUGGGCGGAAGGAAAAGACGAAUAUGAAGAAUUCAAAGAAACAUGGGAAGACAUAUGAAGUGAUAUGAAAUGAAGGCAG
This is a non-coding RNA of Phascolarctos cinereus (koala), 238 nucleotides long. The record is from RefSeq and is a predicted model, not a curated record. NCBI's taxonomy places the organism in Eukaryota, Metazoa, Chordata, Mammalia, Diprotodontia, Phascolarctidae.